RNAcentral lists this ribosomal RNA (253 nucleotides) under uncultured bacterium. RNAcentral's name for it is "partial 16S ribosomal RNA". It matches the Rfam family "Bacterial small subunit ribosomal RNA", at positions 524 to 776 of the family's 1533-position model. The record is from RNAcentral.
UACGUAGGGUGCGAGCGUUGUCCGGAAUUAUUGGGCGUAAAGAGCUCGUAGGCGGUUUGUCGCGUCGGCCGUGAAAACUUGGGGCUUAACUCCAAGCUUGCGGUCGAUACGGGCAGACUUGAGUUCGGCAGGGGAGACUGGAAUUCUCGGUGUAGCGGUGAAAUGCGCAGAUAUCAGGAGGAACACCGGUGGCGAAGGCGGGUCUCUGGGCCGAUACUGACGCUGAGGAGCGAAAGCGUGGGGAGCGAACAGG